GAUGAACGCUGGCGGCGUGCCUAAUACAUGCAAGUCGAGCGAACAGACGAGGAUCUUGCUCCUCUGACGUUAGCGGCGGACGGGUGAGUAACACGUGUAUAACCUACCUAUAAGACUGGGAUAACUUCGGGAAACCGGAUCUAAUACCGGAUAAUAUAUUGAACCGCAUGGUUCAAUAGUGAAAGACGGUUUUGCUGUCACUUAUAGAUGGAUCCGCGCCGCAUUAGCUAGUUGGUAAGGUAACGGCUUACCAAGGCAACGAUGCGUAGCCGACCUGAGAGGGUGAUCGGCCACACUGGAACUGAGACACGGUCCAGACUCCUACGGGAGGCAGCAGUAGGGAAUCUUCCGCAAUGGGCGAAAGCCUGACGGAGCAACGCCGCGUGAGUGACGAAGGUCUUCGGAUCGUAAAACUCUGUUAUUAGGGAAGAACAAAUGUGUAAGUAAAUAUGCACGUCUUGACGGUACCUAAUCAGAAAGCAACGGCUAACUACGUG
This 497-nucleotide ribosomal RNA is filed under the name uncultured bacterium. RNAcentral describes it as "partial 16S ribosomal RNA". It matches the Rfam family "Bacterial small subunit ribosomal RNA", at positions 28 to 507 of the family's 1533-position model. The record is from RNAcentral.